GUCAGGCCUAUGAGCCUAUCCUAGGUACAUGGCUUCAUCCGUGCCCGCAAGUGGAAGGGAGGGGCCUCAGGCCUGCGCCGCAGUCGACAGAUCCUAACCAACCGCCGCGCCGAGCUCCACCGGCGCCCUCUCCCGCCCGAGCUUGCUCCGGCGACAAUGUGGAACGACGAGCUUGACGGCAGAGGCCGGGGCUCCGGCCGUCCUACCCCAGGUACCUCCGGUCUUGCUUACCCGGGGAGCGCGAGGUGGACCGAAACCCACCCCGCGGGCUUGGAGCAGUGGUGCGCGGCGCCGGCACGGCCGGCCGUGUGGACGUGAUGCGAUUUGGGACGAAGAUGGGAACGAGGGAUGCGAUGCGGCAAUUGUCAACAAGAACCGCGUGGUUGACACUGACGAGAAGACGUGGUUACAUCCCUUGUAUCCCCCUGAGAAGACUUGGCGCUGACCUCUGCCUCUACGGAGCGAGCAGCCUAUCCGUUCCGUUCAUCCUCUACAACUGCGAUUAGUUGGCGAGUCUUUGCUUCUUCUUUGUUCUUUAAUAAUCAGAUUGCCUUGCCGGCCACCUAGGUGCUGAAAUCCGAAAUCCGGGAGUCGUUUGGUGUAGGGAUCGUCCAGGAGCAAAGUAAAGGAGAAGCCAGGAAAACGAGCUUUCCGGAGAAAUCUGAAUUCUGGAUGAUCAACGCAGCCUAUCCUUUAAUCGGUCAAGCAGCGGCAAAGUAAAGAAGAAUCCAAAUCACCACUUACCAGAUAGUGACAGGAUGGUCGAUGCUGUGGGCAGCGUGAAGCAGGUUGUCUAGGUCGCGCUCAAGAUCAAGGAGGCGGCGGACACGGUUCGUCAUAACAAGGAGGUCUGCCAUCAGAUUAGAGGCCGCGUGAAUAGACUUCGUGCUAUCCUGUCGAAGCUCGAGGAUGCUAAUACCAUGAACGAUUCGGCGACUAGCGACACUCAAGGACCUCGAAGAGACUCUGCUUCGUGCCUACAGGCUUGUCCAUGCCUGUCGAGGGAAGAAGAACAUCGUUUCCCUUCUCUUCACUGCCGGGAAGCUCUCGAGACAACUGCGCCAGGUCAAUGGCGAUAUUUUGGCUCAGAUGGCGGUUGCAAAUUUUGGCAACAAUGUUCAGACCGCCAUUAUGCUGAGUAAACAUUUUCAAGACCCCCCAAAGGACCAAGAACAAAUGAGACUUUCGUUGUUGUUUCGGGAGGAUGCAGAGCAUGCCAUAAAGUCGCCCGACAAGUCACUCACGCAUGACUCUAGGUAGGUUCUCUCAAUAUGCAUUUUCAUCACCAUCCAUUUAAAGGUACUUCAGUGCGAGUCAUUUUCUCUGAUAGUUUAUUUUAGAGUCUCUUACCUCCUUGAUCUACGUACAGUCAAUAUACGCCGUAAAUAAAUGAAGCAAAUUUCCUAUCUUGCUCUGUUUGGGUGAUUUGGGUGGUGAGCACUGCCUUGCACAGCUUCCCGCCAUCAUCUGGCGCCUGUUGCAAGCUCUUGAUGCUUUUGUCCUUGUGAGAUUCAUUGACAAUGCGGCUGUCUAUAGCAGCAAGGGCGGCAGAGGAGUUGCUGCCGAGGGGGAAGUGCAUGCUUGCGGGACCUGUGGCUCUGUGCAAGGAGGCACGCUCUCCCAUCUCCCCUUCUUGAUUUUGAUCCAGCUGCGCCAUCAGUGUGUGGUGGGCCCCUUGUCAAUUGGAUGAAUGCCGGAUGCGGCCCUUUAUAAGUUGUCAAGAUGCCAUUCAUGGCUUUCGGUAGCAAUGCCCUCUCAUGUUGAUUGGUAGCGUGAUGGCCACUCAUGGAAUGUUCAUUACUGCCACACUCGUUUUUUUUUCAGAUAGGUGCCUCUAUGUGCCAUGGGAGGUCAAUGGGUAUGGGUGACAAUGGACGUGGUACAUGAUUGAUAGAUCUAGGGCGUUUGUGGUUGCAUGUCAGUCAUCCACAUUGGUGUAAGUGGUGAUCUGGUCGUCAUUGGUUGGAUCAGACAAGGAGGUAUUGAGUUGUUGUCUCUCAGCGGAGGCGGAGUUUAUGUGCUCGCGCACAAAUGCGCUCGUAAUCUGGGCGGUUCCUAUUAGGUGGGGAUACGAGCCAUUCAUUGCGUGGGCCAUCUCAAGGGGCAGACGAAAUAUAGUAGGAAAAGCGAAAUACAUGCGCUGUGAACCCUGGACUGUGGGCCAUGUUUGUGACGGAGAUAGAACGCCGUGGACGGCUCCAAGCAGAGCCGUGGCCCAUGACGGCAUGUUCUUCCCGAUCCAUGGCCCAUGAAACUUGCUUUCCAGUUACAGACAGGGAUGGUGAGCUCACUCAGGGUCGUCUCCUACCUACGCCGCCUUGAUUAGUCACUUGCCGAAGCGGCGGAGCUCUGCUGCGAUUCUCGCGGGCGACCGGGCGAACGGAACCGGUGGACGCCGAUUAAGAGGACAGCCGUGCUUGAACAGGCAAAUGACAGCGAUAUUCUGAUGCAGCCGCUGCACUACCUAGUGGCGCGGCCGGCUGAGGAGCCGCUGGCAGCUAUGGUGGAAGUAAGUGCGGACGGCCAGAUCCAUGCGGCGGAAGGGGCAAUGGAUGCACAAGAAGGGUCCACAAGAGCGUCGGAGCAGUCAAUUGGAUAGACCGACCCUAGAGCUCCUGGCCGGAAAAGAAGGGUGAGAGUAGGUGCUGCUGUCCCAGUAAGGAUGCCAUGUCCUAACCGGACUACUGCUCUGGAGAAGGCUAUCCAUGGUUUUGCCGACAAUCUUGGGGACAAUGUCAUAGUGCCAACUUUGGGUACAACCUUUGAUUCUCUGGGAAAUUGUUUGCGGCUGUGCAGUAUGGGAAUAGAAGGGGAGCCUUGGCGCAGUGGUAAAACUGCUGCCUUGUGACCAUGAGGUCACAGGUUCAAGUCUUGGAAACAGCCUCUUACAGAAAUGUAGGGUAAGGUUGCGUACUAUAGACCCAAAGUGGUCGGACCCUUCCUCGGACCCUGCGCAAGCAGGACCUACAUGCACCGGGCUGCCCCCCUUCCCUGUGCAGUAUGGGAAUAAGGAUUUGACACUUGUUAGUAUUUCAAAUAAUUUUGUGCAGGAGCUAUAGCUGAAAUGUUCUAUCUUUUUUCGUGUUUUUUUUUCAGGGAAAGGCGGGGUUUGACAACACUAUGUCGUGUCGUUGCGAUUGCCUUGCUCUCAUCAUGUUGUUGCUGUCCAAAGACAAUGAUUAGUACAUAGCAGAAGACCCUGAGGAGCACAACUACGGAAGCUGAUCCAAGGCACAGGAGGUUCGCUUUCAGGUUUGUGUAGAUGGAGAGAAUUAAUUUCGGUUAGGUUGAUACUUUGAGGAUCUAUUACUCGUUUUUGGUCAAAAGGGUCGAAUUGCUGAGACGACAGGGGUGGAGAGGGGCGACUCCAUUGGCGGUGAUGGAGUUGCUGAUGCGACCCAUGAGCAGAUUCCCCUUUCUGGAGGAAUUGGAUGAGAGUGCAACCCCGAUGGAACCGGCAGCGUUCACAGUGGUUCGUUUGGUACCGGCUGCCGAGCAAUCGGCGGGACUAGCCAUGAGCGCGGACAAGCAGGUUGUGAGGAAGACAUGGCAAAAGGUGUGAGAUGAAAGGCGUCGCCGCUGGUGUCCGAGAUGUCCACCGGGAAGAUGAAGUUCCUACAGUCCUACAGGCACCUGGUUGGGCUAAGAGGUGUGUUUCCCUAAAUCAAUCAAAUUAGUAUGCAUUGCUGAAUAUUUGUUGUUGAGCGAUUAGGAGUGAUGCUGUCAUACGUGUAUUGACGUCCCCUUGGGGUUCAGAACAUUCAGACAGGUAGUUGAUGCUGUUCUUAAGUAGUGUACGGUUAUGAAUGGAUGAUGAUCUAUCCAGCUUGGAGCAUGUUGUUACUAAUUUGAAGGUUGCUGUACAAUUGGUUAUGAGUUAUGAUUUAUGGGGAGUGAUUUGUAGUUA
Molecule: long non-coding RNA, 3907 nt
Organism: Triticum aestivum (bread wheat)
Lineage: Eukaryota; Viridiplantae; Streptophyta; Magnoliopsida; Poales; Poaceae
Exons: 9
Source: RefSeq, a predicted model, not a curated record